Molecule: long non-coding RNA, 1069 nt
Organism: Acanthochromis polyacanthus (spiny chromis)
Lineage: Eukaryota; Metazoa; Chordata; Actinopteri; Pomacentridae
Exons: 3
Source: RefSeq, a predicted model, not a curated record
CAUACGGCAAUUGAUAUUUGAUUUCUGGUCUUUAUUGAUUUUUAACAGGUUUUUUACAGUAAAUAUUAGCAUUUUAGCUCAAUAGCUCUCAGGUCAUGUUACCUAUUGACCCCAAACCAGUGCAGAAUGAUAGUGCUACUAAGUAUGGUCAACAUACGCCAAUUUAUAUUUGAUUUUAGGACACAAUUGAUUUUUAACAGUUUUUUUACAGUAAAUAUUAGCAUUUUAGCUCAAUAGCUCUCAGGUCAUGUGAUGUAUUGACCCCAAACUAAUGCAGAAUGAUAGUGCUACUAAAGAUGGUCAACAUACGGCAAUUUAUAUUUGAUUUUAGGACAUUAUUGAUUUUUAACAGUUUUUUGACAGUAAAUAUUAGCUUUAUUGCUCAAUAGCUCUCAGGUCAUGUGACGUAUUGACCCCAAACCGGUGCAGAAUGAUAGUGCUACUAAGGAUGGUCAACAUACGCCAAUUGAUAUUUGAUUUCUGGUCUUUAUUGAUUUUUAACAGGUUUUUUACAGUAAAUAUUAGCAUUUUAGCUCAAUAGCUCUCAGGUCAUGUUACCUAUUGACCCCAAACCAGUGCAGAAUGAUAGUGCUACUAAGUAUGGUCAACAUACGCCAAUUUAUAUUUGAUUUUAGGACACAAUUGAUUUUUAACAGUUUUUUUACAGUAAAUAUUAGCAUUUUAGCUCAAUAGCUCUCAGGUCAUGUGACGUAUUGACCCCAAACCAGUGCAGAAUGAUAGUGCUACUAAGUAUGGUCAACAUACGGCAAUUUAUAUUUGAUUUCUGGACAUUAUUGAUUUUUAACAGUUUUUUGACAGUAAAUAUUAGCUUUAUUGCUCAAUAGCUCUCAGGUCAUGUUACCUAUUGACCCCAAACUAAUGCAGAAUGAUAGUGCUACUAAGGAUGGUCAACAUACGCCAAUUGAUAUUUGAUUUCUGGUCUUUAUUGAUUUUUAACAGGUUUUUUACAGUAAAUAUUAGCAUUUUAGCUCAAUAGCUCUCAGGUCAUGUGACUAAUUGACCCCAAACUAAUGCAGAAUGAUAGUGCUACUAAAGAUGGUAAACAUAC